This 466-nucleotide long non-coding RNA is filed under the name Oryza brachyantha (malo sina). RNAcentral's name for it is "long non-coding RNA (OBRA_LNC001860)". The record is from RNAcentral. Lineage: Eukaryota; Viridiplantae; Streptophyta; Magnoliopsida; Poales; Poaceae.
ACAAAUUAUUUUUCGUUUAUAAAUACAUUAUUUUUUUAAUGAAAAAGUCAAUGAAUCACCAUCAUACUUUAGCGUCCUCGCCGUAUCAAAGCUGGCGGUACGAGUACAAAUUUUAAGCCAAGCAGUCAAGCGGAUGACGCGUGAAAUGAAUUAGUAGCAUCCUCGUCCGACUCGACUACCCACCCACACCGCCACACGACCGUGCAGCCGCUCGAUCCGCUGCAUCAUCGGCUCGACUCGACUCGACACCUAAUCUCCUAUCCUACGACGUCGCGUCGCGUCCAUUUUUUUUCACCGUGUUACCCACUCACCAACCACGCGUCGCGCGCGCCGAAAGCCUCUCCUCAGUCGCCCGCGCACGCGGAGCGAAACCGGUACGCCGUACGCGCGCGCUGGUGAUCGAUCGAUCGAUCAGCGAGCGAGCGAGCCGCGAACCCCCAUCCAUCCACCAACCGGCCCCUCGUGC